GACGAACGCUGGCGGCGUGCUUAACACAUGCAAGUCGAACGGCAAGGCACUGCUUUUGUGGGGUGCUCGAGUGGCGAACGGGUGAGUAACACGUGAGUAACCUGCCCUUGACUUUGGGAUAACUUCAGGAAACUGGGGCUAAUCCCGUAUAGGAGCUCCUGUUGCAUGGAGGGGGUUGGAAAGUUUCGGCGGGUGGGGUUGGACUCGCGGCUUAUGAGCUUGUUGGUGGGGGAGUGGCUUACCAAGGCUGUGACGGGUCGCCGGCCUGAGAGGGUGGCCGGCCACAUUGGGACUACGGUACGGCCCAGAGUCCUACGGUGGGCAACGGUGGGGAAUAUUGCCCAACCGGCGCGAGCCUGAGGCAGCGACGCCGCGGGCGUGAAGACGUCCUGCUGGGUGUGAACCGCUUUCGCCUGAGACGAAGCGGGUGUGACGGUAAUGAGAAAAGAAGCACCGGCUAACUUCGUG
RNAcentral lists this ribosomal RNA (468 nucleotides) under uncultured bacterium. RNAcentral's name for it is "partial 16S ribosomal RNA". It matches the Rfam family "Bacterial small subunit ribosomal RNA", at positions 28 to 507 of the family's 1533-position model. The record is from RNAcentral.